AGAGAGUGAUUUUGGCUCAGGAUGAACGCUGGCGGCGUGCUUAACACAUGCAAGUCGAGCGAAGCAGUUAAGUUGAUUUCUUCGGAUUGAUUCUUAACUGACUGAGCGGCGGACGGGUGAGUAACGCGUGGGUGACCUGCCCCGUACCGGGGGAUAACAGCUGGAAACGGCUGCUAAUACCGCAUAAGCGCACAGAGCUGCAUGGCUCGGUGUGAAAAACUCCGGUGGUAUGGGAUGGGCCCGCGUCUGAUUAGGCAGUUGGCGGGGUAACGGCCCACCAAACCGACGAUCAGUAGCCGGCCUGAGAGGGCGACCGGCCACAUUGGGACUGAGACACGGCCCAAACUCCUACGGGAGGCAGCAGUGGGGAAUAUUGCACAAUGGGGGAAACCCUGAUGCAGCGACGCCGCGUGAGCGAAGAAGUAUUUCGGUAUGUAAAGCUCUAUCAGCAGGGAAGAUAAUGACGGUACCUGACUAAGAAGCCCCGGCUAACUACGUGCCAGCAGCCGCGGUAAUACGUAGGGGGCAAGCGUUAUCCGAAUUUACUGGGUGUAAAGGGAGCGUAGACGGCAAGGCAAGUCUGAUGUGAAAACCCAGGGCUUAACCCUGGGACUGCAUUGGAAACUGUCUGGCUCGAGUGCCGGAGAGGUAAGCGGAAUUCCUAGUGUAGCGGUGAAAUGCGUAGAUAUUAGGAAGAACACCAGUGGCGAAGGCGGCUUACUGGACGGUAACUGACGUUGAGGCUCGAAAGCGUGGGGAGCAAACAAGAUUAGAUACCCUGGUAGUCCACGCCGUAAAC
Molecule: ribosomal RNA, 799 nt
Filed under: uncultured bacterium
Lineage: Bacteria
Description: bacterial SSU rRNA
Rfam family: Bacterial small subunit ribosomal RNA
Source: RNAcentral